RNAcentral lists this ribosomal RNA (357 nucleotides) under uncultured bacterium. RNAcentral's name for it is "bacterial SSU rRNA". It matches the Rfam family "Bacterial small subunit ribosomal RNA", at positions 29 to 377 of the family's 1533-position model. The record is from RNAcentral.
AACGAACGCUGGCGGCGCGCUUAACACAUGCAAGUCGAACGAGAAGGCGUAGCAAUACGCUUGUACAGUGGCGAACGGGUGAGUAAUACGUGGGCGACCUACCCUCGAGUGGGGAAUAACCCGCCGAAAGGCGGGCUAAUGCCGCGUACGCUUCCAUCUUUAUGGAGGUGGAAGGAAAGCCGUGCCGUGGGCACGGCGCUCAAGGAUGGGCUCACGUCCUAUCAGCUUGNGGUAGGGUAACGGCCUACCAAGGCUCCGACGGGUAGCUGGUCUGAGAGGACGAUCAGCCACACUGGCACUGCGACACGGGCCAGACUCCUACGGGAGGCAGCAGUGAGGAAUAUUGCGCAAUGGGCG